This 494-nucleotide ribosomal RNA is filed under the name uncultured bacterium. RNAcentral's name for it is "partial 16S ribosomal RNA". It matches the Rfam family "Bacterial small subunit ribosomal RNA", at positions 28 to 507 of the family's 1533-position model. The record is from RNAcentral.
GACGAACGCUGGCGGCGUGCUUAACACAUGCAAGUCGAACGGUGAAGCGCCUUCCUUUUUGGUGGGUGUGGAUGAGUGGCGAACGGGUGAGUAACACGUGAGUAACCUGCCCCCUUCUUCUGGAUAACCGCAUGAAAGUGUGGCUAAUACGGGAUAUUCUGGGUCUGUCGCAUGAUGGGUCUGGGAAAGAUAUUGUUUCGGUGGGGGAUGGGCUCGCGGCCUAUCAGCUUGUUGGGGGGGUGAUGGCCUACCAAGGCGGUGACGGGUAGCCGGCCUGAGAGGGUGGACGGUCACACUGGGACUGAGACACGGCCCAGACUCCUACGGGAGGCAGCAGUGGGGAAUAUUGCACAAUGGGCGCAAGCCUGAUGCAGCGACGCCGCGUGAGGGAUGGAGGCCUUCGGGUUGUGAACCUCUUUCGCCAGUGAAGCAGGCCUGCCUCGUUUGUGGGUGGGUUGACGGUAGCUGGAGAAGAAGCGCCGGCUAACUACGUG